RNAcentral lists this ribosomal RNA (253 nucleotides) under uncultured bacterium. Its description in RNAcentral is "partial 16S ribosomal RNA". It matches the Rfam family "Bacterial small subunit ribosomal RNA", at positions 524 to 776 of the family's 1533-position model. The record is from RNAcentral.
UACGUAGGGUGCGAGCGUUGUCCGGAAUUAUUGGGCGUAAAGGGCUCGUAGGCGGUUUGUCGCGUCGGGAGUGAAAACCAGCUGCUUAACACCUGGCUUGCUUUCGAUACGGGCAGACUAGAGGUAUUCAGGGGAGAACGGAAUUCCUGGUGUAGCGGUGAAAUGCGCAGAUAUCAGGAGGAACACCGGUGGCGAAGGCGGUUCUCUGGGCAGUAACUGACGCUGAGGAGCGAAAGCGUGGGGAGCGAACAGG